This 240-nucleotide unclassified non-coding RNA is filed under the name soil metagenome. RNAcentral describes it as "partial contains 5.8S ribosomal RNA, internal transcribed spacer 2, and large subunit ribosomal RNA". The record is from RNAcentral.
AACCUUAUGGACCUGCGGGCGUAUACCUGCGGAAGGAUCAUUAACGCGUCUCCGACGGCGAGGGCGCGCCCCAGCUCCGGGCCGAAAGGCCGCGCUGCGGGGCGGCCCGAGCCGCUCGACCUUUGCGAACCCGCUGUGCACUUUUGUCGGCAGAGGCCCCCCCGGGGCCCGAGCCGGAAUCACAAACCCACUCGAAUCGAACGCUGAGCGGCCCCCGUGCCGCCUAAACUUUGACAACUU